Non-coding RNA from Pelobates cultripes (western spadefoot toad), 684 nucleotides. NCBI's taxonomy places the organism in Eukaryota, Metazoa, Chordata, Amphibia, Anura, Pelobatidae. The record is from the annotation of a GenBank genome assembly.
GUAUAACAGAGCUCCACAGCAGUAAUACUCCCAGUAAUGUGUCUGAGUGUAUAACAGAGCUCCACAGCAAUAAUACUCCCAGUAAUGUCUUUAAACUGCAAUAAAUGGGGGUUGGCGUAGAAGGAGAGACACUAAUGGGGAGGCAGUAUAGGAGAGACACAGAGGGGAAAGCACCUCCAGUGCAAACCCAUAUCAGAGUCUCUGCGCCCCGCAAAUAUAUUACGUAGUAAAUGUUUUGGGGUUGUUUGCUAAGCAGUUGCAACCACUUUUUGCAACCACUUACACAUCAAUAGCGCUCCCAGUGCCCGGAAUGUCACCACAACCACUUACACAUCUAUAGGGCUCCCAGUGCCCGGGCUGUCACCACAAACACAUCUAUAGCGCUCCCAGUGCUCGGACUGUCACCACAACCAUUUACAGAUCUCUUGGGCUCCCAGUGCCAGGAAUUAGCUUAUUGGUCAAUAUUCCAGUCAUCAUUCAUGUAAAUUUCCCUCCCUCUCUUGUUUUGCCACUUUUCAGAAAUCCGAAGCACUUUGGAACUUCAGCAAUUCGGUUUGGCACUUCGGACAUUCGUAAGCAUCCGAACGUCCGAAUUACACGAAAUUUGUCCGAAUGUACAUUCUAAAUGAAACGAAUUGCACAUGUCUAACUCCAACCCCAAUUCCUGCAAUCGCCUCCUUUUAC